Dicentrarchus labrax (European seabass) is the source of this 2399-nucleotide long non-coding RNA. RefSeq lists it as uncharacterized. Lineage: Eukaryota; Metazoa; Chordata; Actinopteri; Moronidae. The transcript is spliced from 2 exons. The record is from RefSeq and is a predicted model, not a curated record.
UUGUGGGUUAUUUACUGCUUAUGGUUCAUAGGGUUAUUAUUGCUCAUGGUUUUGCACUGCUGGCAGCGGGCGCAGAAAAGCACAUGAGUCGCUGUCAUACCGCGCAACGUUUUGCGGACGGGAGGACUCGAGUGAGUACUUGUUGCGAGCCAUACGGCGGCGGCAGCGUCCCGGAGCUGUCAAAUAUUGCGCACAGCUCUCAGUCUUCAGUCAGUGGAGUAAGCAGACUAAUCCACCAGACAAACAACUCGGAAGAUUGACCGCUUUUCACCCUCGAGAAACUCAUUUUUUUGUCUCAACACCCGGAAGCCUGUUUUUGAACCUGUUUGUUCAUUAUCAAUUUGUCACAUGGCUUUGGAGAAUUCAAUAACAACAAAAAAUGGCGACAAUCACGUUGCUCUGUGUGGUCUUGCUGCGUCAUUAAAAAUAUUCAUGUAAACACGGAGAAUUAAACGGGGAAAACGCAGGAAAGGGGUGUGUAUGCAAUGCUGGGCGUUAACAUUUGGCUGCACAAUAUUCACUACGAACAUUGCAUUUGGCUGUUAGUCGCUUUUUAAAGAGUGGCCCGAAUAAAGCAGGUAUGCAUGUUAUUGUGUGAUGACACAAAUAAAGGCGUUGUUUAGAGAUUUGGCCAACUUUUUUGUUUAUUUGUAGGAAACAGCAACAAGCUUUGGCACAGAUUUUUCGCUGUUGUCCUUAUUCCACGGCAUUGGUAUCGUAUUGCUGCCUGUUACCUUCACUGUUAGUGGGUUAUGAGCCAUUCUCCACUUAUUUACAUUGUGGGUUUAUGCAAUAUGGACGCGCUUUUCUUCACAGGCUCUCUUUUUUUACAGACACUGGUGACAACAAACGGAGCCCUCAGACACUGUGCCUGGCCUCAGCCCUGUUGUACUUAUUAUUACACAUGUUGCUUUUUUUUUGCUUUUCGCGUUUUGACACGAACAUUUUUGGCCCUGUGCAGCGAGGGGCUAAUGGAGUUGUUUACAUGAAGUGCGGAGGGCGGACUGAAGAGGAGGAGGAGGAGGAGGAGCCGCGACGUCGGCCAGCGACGCCACCGGACUGCUCGAGAGGCUUCUCGCGCCGAGGGUGGGGGGGCGGAGCCCGCGAGGAGAAUCAUAACAAGUCUGACGUCACUCGGCCUUGUGGUUGGUAUGAAUAAUAUACAGUAGUUUGUCUCGACCAAGUCCUAGCAGGAAAGGGGAAAAAAAAAAUCUGCGUGGUUGUUUUAUGAGAUGAAACAUUAACGAGCCCUCUGCGCAGGAGGCAAAGAAAAUAACGAGCAGCUAAAUAAACUAAAUAUGGAUAAGUAGAUUGCAAAAAAAAAAAAAAAAAAAACGUGCAUCAGGAUAGUACACAUGACUAUAAAGCAAGCAUCGUCAUCACAUUUCCAAGAAUUGUACAACGUUUGUAAUUACAGAUUCACAUCCAGCAGGGCCACUGAGUUCAGAUUACACAUGUCGGGGUUGUGCAUUAUUGACAGGCCCACCCCUCAGACACAGGUAGACCUUUCAUCAUACAUCAUCGUCCUGUUGUACGUGCAUAUGGGAGCUGACUCCUAUAACUCCCAAGACUUACUCCUGAGCCACAUUUGCCAUUGACUUUAUUGACGCAGAGUGGCAUAAGGCAUAUAGGACUGCUUUUAUUUUCCACUGUUUUUCCAGUUCUCACAUCCUCUUAAGAAGUCUGCAUGUUUAUUUCUGUUCCCCUAAUGAAAUUAUGAAAUUUAGUUCAUGUUUUCUACCUUUUUCACUCUGACUGUGUUAGUUUAUUUUCUGGCGUCUUAUUAUAUUUACCCCAAAAUGUGGAAUUUUAAAAUCUCCCACGGUUAGAGGGGCAGCAGACUUCCUGCUGGUGACCACUGGUUUGAAGGAUAUUUGUAUAUUUCUGUAUAUUGCUUAAAAUCAUUUAUAUGAAAACGAAUGCUGGAGAUGCAACGUCUAUAUGUUUUUUAUAACAGAAAAUAAGCUGCAAAAAUUCAACAGGAAAAACUUUGUCAUCUUUGCACCUGUUGACCUAGAGCACAGAUAUUAUGAGUGGAUGACGAAUGGAGCGAAGCCCCGCACUGCUAGAUUUGACAGGCUGCCCUGGUUCAGUUAUCACAGUGCUGAUGCUGUCCCCAUCGAAGGUACAGUACUGUGAUAACUGAAGGAUGGCUGCCAACUUGACACGAGUGCAGUGAAUCAAAGCACGUUCGGCUAAACGAGCCAGAGGACCAAAGAGAAGAAAGAAAUGAUUGUGGUAGGUUGAAUUAGACAAGUUUAAUGGGAUAUUCAAAGGUCUUGAUCAUUCACAAAUAUAUAUAUACAAUUCAGCUCAAAACCUGUAAAUUAGUGUAUUGCUCACUACAUACUGUGUGUAAGUUCUGUUUAACUAUAAGAAAUAAAGUGAAUUUUCUUUUA